GUACUUACACAGACAUGGGGGAAAGUGGACCCUGUUAUCACUCCCCUGUAUGGAUGGGUAAACAGGCUGAGAUCACACACUGAGAGGUUAAAGCCGAGCCAUCAUUAGAAGCAGCACCAAGCCCGAGGUUCCUGCUUCAGCUCGGGAAAUAGAGAUUAGCAUAUAAAUAGCCUUCGGUGCCUGCUUGAUUCCAGCUAUUUUGCGUUUCAAUGUGGCAUCAGAAUGCACUUAGCAAGAAAUGUUCGAGAGGAGAAAGAGGUU
Molecule: long non-coding RNA, 261 nt
Filed under: Fukomys damarensis (Damara mole-rat)
Lineage: Eukaryota; Metazoa; Chordata; Mammalia; Rodentia; Bathyergidae
Description: lncRNA (ENSFDAG00000024546.1)
Source: RNAcentral